CAACGUCUCAGAUCAAAUGUUAUGCCGAGCAGACGCCUGGUCUCUGUUCUGCCAACUGCCGUAGCGCUCCGCGUCUCCUGAAUCCCGCGGCCCGCUCGCAACACCCCGAUUUACGGAUCUGUUCCACCUGAAUCGUGCCUCCUGAUCCUUCUUUCUUUAGGCCCCAGCUCCAGAAGGAUCAAUCCACAACAACCAUGAUCAUGCAUCCGGAGCUUCCCUGUCCGCUCCACCAUCGGACUCCGCGGAUCCACGGCUAACGGGCCGAUGGAGGCGAAGGAUGGAUCCACAACAACCAUGGCGGUGCAUCCACAGCGUCCGCGGCGACUCUACCUCCGGCUCCGUGGAUCCACGGCUAGCGGCCCGACGGAGGAGCGAUGGGCAUCAAUACGGUCUGCUGCUCUGCCAUGUGGUCCCUCCAUGUAUCCCCCUGGACCUCAGUGGCCAGACGCUUCUUCCACUCCGGCUCAGGUAAGCCCCCUCCACUAUACUUUUCUCAUGCGCGCCCGCUCCUGCAAUGAAUCAUAUGCUAGCCAUGUCGGGUUCUAGGGUUUCCGUCUCUCCAUAGGAUUCAAUUUUCAGGCGUGUUUCCUUGGUGUUCUAGGACGAUUAAGAUUUCUUGAGGAUAACCUCCCUCAUGGUCCAAAAGCUCUCUUGUCCACGUCUCACAUGGCUACAUGGGAAAAUCAAGUGGGGAUCAGAUUUAGUUGUCUUGAUGGGGAAUCACCCCAACAUGAACUAGGUAAUCAAUCUUUCUCAUGGUUUUCGAUGCAACAAAGGAGGUGUGGUGCCAUCAGUUUGAAGCGGACCAUGCAGUUACAAAAUUGUCGUCGUCAGGAAGGUUGCUGAGUGGAUGAACUCACGGGCACCUUUUUGGUUUGUCUCUCACUGGACCAGCAGCCAUGUCUAAGGUUUGCCGAAGCACUAAUUAUGUGAUUAGUCUUAAUUAUCGAUAUGGCAUUAGGGGUUUCUCAUGUACGGCCGGAUAUGGAUCAACGAAGAUUGGCUGAGGAUGGUCAUGCCGAUAGGCGACAACAACUGACGAGUAAUUGCUCCCUGAUCCCUCCAUCUCAGAGUCGCAAAUAGCCUCUAUGUCACCACUCACCAAAUGCGGUUGCAUCAUCUAGGUUUGGUCUAUGUACAUAGUGACCAGCCUGAGAGUUUGAUUACCAAUCUGCAUGUGUUUUUUGUUACGGGCAAUGCAACUCUUGAAUUUAUUAAUUUUUGCAUGGUACAUGGCUCUUUGGCAGGUGCCUUCAUAUGUAGUGGCUCUGUACUCCAUGAAAGAGCAGGUAGAGUAUUUAGAUACUACUACUAAAUAUUAUAGGAUGUACAAUGCAAAUCCAUCCCAAAUCCAUCCAGUGGUAGGUUCUGAGGGAUGCCCGGAACAUCUACAUGUUCAGCAUCAUGAGCGUAUUUGAACUUGACCACCAAUGAGAACAGAUGUCCUACAUCGAGAUGGAGCGCAUAAUGCUCGAUCAGUUGGAUCAUUCAGGUAGAAUCAUGCUCUUCAUGUUCAGUACACCUGCUUCCUCUGUUAACGUUUCUGUUUGCUCUAAUUAUAUAAGGUCAGUCGUUGUUGUUUCAGCAAUCAAACUUCCAAAUGUCAUCUCUCUACUUUGGCAAUGAAAACAUAUUUUUCAAUUAUUUCAUGGCUUGAUUUAUCUUGUUGUUGACUAGAUGUAAAGUAUUACCCGCCAACUCAUUGAUUCUUUGUGUUUUGAGAUCACAUUCAUGCGACUCCAUCAACCAUAUAAUUUUGAACUUGAUGGAUCCUUAAUUCCUGAGCUUUGAAGUUGAUGGAUCGUUCGUUCCUCUGUUGGACAGUACAUGAAUUGGACGGACAAGUGAACAAAGUUGAUGCAUAGGUAUAUGAAGUCUGGUGCUAUUAUAGGAUAUGAGCUGAGUAAUAUAUGUAUAAAUCCAUUGGCUGAAACUUCAAUUAUUCCCGCGCUCCUGCUUGCAACGGUACCGUUAUAAUCGCCAUAGAAAAUGAUAUUAUUACAAUUAACAGUUAAUUAACUAUCUUUUGUUAACUCAUCACUGAGACUUGUAAAUGUUUGAUCUUAAGAUGCCACACUACCACAUGGAAGAAAAUAAUUAUGCAAAUCCUAAUUAUGUCUGUAUAAGGUUGGGCUUUACUACAUGGAAAGAAGAAAUAUUAUAUGAACUUCCAAAGUUACUUCAAUUUUUCUGAAAGUCUGAUGCAUCUCAAACUCUGUUGCUUUGCAGCAGGAUGAUGAAGAGGAAAAGGGCAAGGGGGAGGAACUCAAGGAAACAAAGAGGGGUGGAAUAAGGAAUAAACAGUGAUGGGAAGGGAGGUGACAACCUCCAAGCCAAAGGCAAGCAAGUAUCAUUAUAUUGCUUCAGAAGACUAAGCGUGGGAGACUGUGGUUUCAAAUCGUAUAAUCGUGGUUUCGAAGUUGUUGACAAAAUGUAAUACAUAUGUAUAUAUCUUAUAAAGGUUACUAACAUACUUACUUUGGUAUGAUUUUUUUCUUCGUUAACAUAUAGGCCAAGAUGUUCUAAAUAUGCCGCAUCGGGAACAUCUAAAAAGGGAUUAACCACCUGAACACUCGGUUACCUGGUUUUAUUUUAAAUGAAGUUAUGUGUGAGGGAGAGAGAGCAAUAAGUUUGUGCAUGAACUAACGGUAAUGUUGUUGAUAAUAUUUUGGUUC
Triticum aestivum (bread wheat) is the source of this 2675-nucleotide long non-coding RNA. RefSeq lists it as uncharacterized. The transcript is spliced from 2 exons. The record is from RefSeq and is a predicted model, not a curated record. Lineage: Eukaryota; Viridiplantae; Streptophyta; Magnoliopsida; Poales; Poaceae.